RNAcentral lists this transfer RNA (74 nucleotides) under Candidatus Brocadiaceae bacterium. It matches the Rfam family "tRNA". From Rfam's summary of the family: Transfer RNA (tRNA) molecules are approximately 80 nucleotides in length. Their secondary structure includes four short double-helical elements and three loops (D, anti-codon, and T loops). Further hydrogen bonds mediate the characteristic L-shaped molecular structure. tRNAs have two regions of fundamental functional importance: the anti-codon, which is responsible for specific mRNA codon recognition, and the 3' end, to which the tRNAs corresponding amino acid is attached (by aminoacyl-tRNA synthetases). tRNAs cope with the degeneracy of the genetic code in two manners: having more than one tRNA (with a specific anti-codon) for a particular amino acid; and 'wobble' base-pairing, i.e. permitting non-standard base-pairing at the 3rd anti-codon position. Lineage: Bacteria; Pseudomonadati; Planctomycetota; Candidatus Brocadiia; Candidatus Brocadiales; Candidatus Brocadiaceae. The record is from Rfam by way of RNAcentral.
UUCACUAUAGCCGAAUUGGAAAAGGCAACUGUUUAGGGAACAGUCUUAUGCUGGUUCAAGUCCAGCUAGUGAUC